Bos taurus (domestic cattle) is the source of this 3096-nucleotide long non-coding RNA. NCBI's taxonomy places the organism in Eukaryota, Metazoa, Chordata, Mammalia, Artiodactyla, Bovidae. The record is from Ensembl.
ACCUUUGGCUCUGUGCUCGCAGAUAGCAGACCAGGGCUUAUCCAGCUUCUGGUGCCUGAGGACUUCCGCCUUUGUGCCCUGGUCCACAGCCCCUGAAUUCCCAGGACAGAAUUCCCGGCCUCCAAGUGGAUAGAAAACGAGAAGCUAUUAGGAUAAAACCGAGAACAAACAACCCCCCACCCCCAAACAAAAUCCUGCCCAGCAGGCUUACACUACCAUCAAGAAAAGUAGAUCCAGGGAAGACCAUGGAAAAUCUCAAGGGGUGCGGAGUGUCUGUUACAGAAGAGAUGGCCUCAGAGGAAUACUGACGGCAGAGGCAAAAGUUAAAGUGAAGUCGCUCAGUCGUGUCUGACUGUUUGCGAACCCACGGACUGUAGCCCACCAGGCUCCUCCAUCCAUGAGAAUCUCCAGGCAGGAAUACUGGAGUGGGUUGCCAUUUCCUUCUCCAGGGGAUCUUCCCGACCCCAGGAUCAAACCCGGGUAUCCUGCCUUGUAGGCAGAUGCUUUACCAUCUGAGCUACCAGGGAAGCCCAAAAGUUAAAUUACAGAAUAGCAAAGUGAGGCGCUAAUGGCAUCCUCUUCUUUUAUGUUAACCUUGCCAGAUGAGGCAUCUACAGACACUUCUUGCUCGGCAAGCCCCCUUCCUCACAAUGUACUGAGUGUGCAUUCUAAAAUCAGUCACUUUUUUUGCAGGGUCAAGUCCAGUGACCCAUCCUCAGUCCUUCAGCCCUUUGAUGUCCUUGCAGCAUCCUGACUGCAGGCCUUCUGUCUGUCUCUUUACUGACCCUUCUUGUCCUCUGAGGACAGUAACUGGAUUCUUCUAGCUCUUUAUUUCCCCUUAUCCCAUGGGUACUGCCUUCUGACUUCAACCCACAGGGGUCCAGAAUUUGUAGGGCCUGAAGCUUGGAUAUACAACUCCCCAGGGAGCUUUUAAAAGAAGAACAGUUAAGACUUACAAACGCAACCCAGCUUGGUGUCCCAGGGAGUGUCUGGGGAAACUGAGAGGCAGGAGAGUGAGCUCUGAGCUUGGAUAAUUGAAACCUGGACUCCUGCACCCACUGCUUCAGCAGUCUCUCUGCCUCUCCUCCUGACUCUGCUGUCAGGCUUUCUCCAGUUAAGGCAGCGGGGCUGCUCCUCACUGCAGUGCGGAGGCUUCUCUUGUGGAGCACAGACUCCUGAACCCAGGCUCAGUAGUUGCGGUGCCCUGGCUCAGCUGCUCCUUGACAUGUGGAAUCUUCCUGGAUCAGGGAUCAAACCCAUGUCCUCUGCAUUGGCAAGCAGAUUCCCAACCACUGGACUGCCAGGGAAAUCUGAAAAUGCACCACUCUGGAGAAAGUGAAGAGGGUGAGCUUUUUGUUGCAAACACCGUUAUUCAGGUUUUGACUGGCCUUGGCACAAAGACAAUCCCUGCCGAAACACCCAGUGUCAGUUUCCUCACAGUUCCAUCCUUCUGUGGGCUGACCAGGCUAAAACUGGCAGGGGGAGCAUGGCAUGAAAUCCAGGACUUCUCAUCUUCACUCCUAUUAAAUAGCUUGCCGGCUCCCUCCUGAAGAAAGAGGCUUCUAUGUUUAAUCUAACUCACAGAGGGAGUGGUAUUACAUGUUCAGGCAUUUGUAAAGUGGACGAAAAAAUUUCCCCUCACAUUCUAAGUUCCUUUUAUGUAGCGUUCUUGUGCAUAUGAUCACCUUGUGUAAAUUGUAUAUUAAGUCAUAAAAAAGACUAAAAUGUACCUAUACAAAAUAUUUUCCUAUUGGUGAUGAUGUUUCAGGACUAGGCUAGAGAACAGGGCAAAUGACUUUAAUUUUUCUUGAAAUGUCGCUGGUUUUCUAAGUAAAACCCUAGAUUCACUGCCUACUACAUCCUUUUGUUGAGGAUGCAGGUGAAGGAAUUUCUGAAUUUUAGAGUUUCGAGCUGUUGUUUCCUGUGGGAUGAUGAAUGAGCAGUGUUGCUCCCAGGCUCUGGUUUACGAUGGGGGAGGGGAUGCUCAGCAAGCACACAGUGACACACAGGACUUGACUUUACACUGUACAAGGGGAUUUUUAAAAUUUUGAAAUGGCUUCACACACACACACACAAAGGGAGUUUCUCUUCCCAGGAAAAUUGAAUACCCUUUCACUCUGGAUUUGUAUUUAUUUCAAAUUUGGGGUCACAAAGACAGGUCCCACUUGCAAUUUUAAGGGGAGGAUAAAUAAGGAAAAGCAGAGAAAAUGCUAGUUGUUCACACAAUUUGUUCUGCUCUCCAUAUUCCUUAUUAUCAAAGAUUUGAACGUACUUCCUAGCUUCACAGUCUUCCCUUUACAUGCAGGCCCUCGUCACAGUUGAUCUCAAUAAUGAGACUAAUUUCCAAGGGCCCUAUUUACCUGCUGUGCAGAGUCAGGCUAAACCUUGUCUCCUGGAGGGGAGGGCAAAAGGAAGGAAUUCUAGCCAGCAGCUCUACCGCACAGGAACUCAUAAAAAAGGGGGGCCCCUUGUGAUCCCAUGCUCACGGUACAGAGUCUACAAGGGUCACUUGAUGUUCAAAGACCUUUGUCCUAUGUGACAGGCAGGACUGAGGCACCAUAAAGAAAUCAGAGAGGCUGAUUCAGGAGACUGGAGCAGGCCUAACGGGAGAAGGGGCAGUCACAGAGAUGAUGACUCACCCCCAAAUCCUUAUUAGCAUUAGACUGUUAACAGUCACAUGUGAUUCUACUUGGGCUAAAACUCUGGAGUAAAACUACCAAUGACAUUUUUUGUAUGAGUGUCUUUCCUGUCAAAGUAAGCUGAUUUCUUCUACAUUAGACUGCAAUCAUCAAUAUCACAAUAAAGGACUUUUACCAGAAUUGUUUUCAAAUUCCGGAAGAUUAUUUUUGCGGAUUCUAGGGCUUUCCUGGGAAACCCUGAAACAGACAUGCACCCUAGUCCCUGUGUAUCUAGUUAUAAUCCACACAUUUGAGCAGCUAGGGAACUAGUUAUCAAUUUCUUUUCCCUCUCAAAAAUGGGAGUACUGAAAAAAAAAAAAAAAAACGGGAGCAUUCAAGUUGACUUCCAGAUGGAAAGUCAGUCAUAUAUUCUGACCAACAAGGCUGCCCUGAUGACCUAGAAGCCAUAGGCUAGUUC